RNAcentral lists this ribosomal RNA (444 nucleotides) under uncultured bacterium. RNAcentral's name for it is "bacterial SSU rRNA". It matches the Rfam family "Bacterial small subunit ribosomal RNA", at positions 331 to 792 of the family's 1533-position model. The record is from RNAcentral.
CCAGACUCCUACGGGAGGCAGCAGUGGGGAAUAUUGCACAAUGGGGGGAACCCUGAUGCAGCGACGCCGCGUGGGUGAAGGAGUACUUCGGUACGUAAAGCCCUAUCAGCAGGAAAGAAAAUGACGGUACCUGACUAAGAAGCCCCGGCUAACUACGUGCCAGCAGCCGCGGUAAUACGUAGGGGGCAAGCGUUAUCCGGAUUUACUGGGUGUAAAGGGAGCGUAGACGGUGAUGCAAGUCAGAAGUGAAAGCCCGGGGCUCAACUCCGGGACUGCUUUUGAAACUGUGUAACUGGAGUGCAGGAGAGGUGAGCGGAAUUCCUGGUGUAGCGGUGAAAUGCGUAGAUAUCAGGAGGAACACCGGUGGCGAAGGCGGCCUGCUGGACUGCAACUGACGUUGAGGCCCGAAAGCGUGGGGAGCAAACAGGAUUAGAUACCCGCGUA